Molecule: ribosomal RNA, 722 nt
Filed under: Salmonella enterica
Lineage: Bacteria; Pseudomonadati; Pseudomonadota; Gammaproteobacteria; Enterobacterales; Enterobacteriaceae
Also listed under: 2 other names
Description: partial 23S ribosomal RNA
Rfam family: Bacterial large subunit ribosomal RNA
Source: RNAcentral
GGGUUGUGAGGUUAAGCGACUAAGCGUACACGGUGGAUGCCCUGGCAGUCAGAGGCGAUGAAGGGCGUGCUAAUCUGCGAUAAGCGCCGGUAAGGUGAUAUGAACCGUUAUAACCGGCGAUACCCGAAUGGGGAAACCCAGUGUGACUCAUCACACUAUCAUUAACUGAAUCCAUAGGUUAAUGAGGCGAACCGGGGGAACUGAAACAUCUAAGUACCCCGAGGAAAAGAAAUCAACCGAGAUUCCCCCAGUAGCGGCGAGCGAACGGGGAGGAGCCCAGAGCCUGAAUCAGCAUGUGUGUUAGUGGAAGCGUCUGGAAAGGCGCGCGAUACAGGGUGACAGCCCCGUACACAAAAGCGCAUAUGCUGUGAGCUCGAUGAGUAGGGCGGGACACGUGGUAUCCUGUCUGAAUAUGGGGGGACCAUCCUCCAAGGCUAAAUACUCCUGACUGACCGAUAGUGAACCAGUACCGUGAGGGAAAGGCGAAAAGAACCCCGGCGAGGGGAGUGAAAAAGAACCUGAAACCGUGUACGUACAAGCAGUGGGAGCCCCACCACUAAGCCAGUGGUGAACUCCACAUACGCAUCCUUUGCUGAGGAUACGGUUAACGGAGCGAAAGCGACGUUCAACCGCAAAAGAAGCAGAGGGGGCUUAGUGGUGGGGUGACUGCGUACCUUUUGUAUAAUGGGUCAGCGACUUAUAUUCUGUAGCAAGGUUAACCG